AGACGUGAACAUAGCCCUGCUAUUGUCCCACAGAAGUUCAGGAAUCAUUUGGCUGGUUUUUCAGGACGCGAUGGAUUCAAGAAUUGUCUCUCUUUUGUACGGGGUUAUUCUUCUGAUGGGAAUUAAUUUCGCUGGGACAUAUUCGCAGAGAACUCUUCUUCACACAGGUGAAUGUAAGAAAGAAGAAUUCUGGAAUUCUGAUGUAAGCCGGUGCUUGCCCUGCUCUACAUGCAAAGAAUUUCCAAAAAUUCCAUCAUGUGACACAUGCACUGUAAGCGAUGAAGCCUCAUACACCUGGAAAAUCACUGCCAUUACCAGUUUAUCUGUGCUGGCAGUUGUAAUUGUUUCUGGAGUGUUGCUAGGAGGAGUACUGGUACAUCAAUACCACUCUAGGAUGAGAAAAACUCUAUGUGAGCCUAUCGAGGAGACUACAGGACCUCUAUAUCAAGUAUAACCAUUUCAGUACAUUGGCUAAGAGUUGUUUGGGGACUGACGCAGAUGGAGACCAAAGCACACCAGUCAACUCAAUCUAGGACUGAAUUAUUUUUUUUACCGGAUGGGGACCAAAGAGUCUUGAGGCAGUUUCACAUUAUUUUACAUUAUUUUCUAAAACUAUAUAAAAUUAUAAUUAUUGAUAUUUAGAUAUUUUCAUAAUAGUCCAUCUUUGGAACAGGGCAAUUUGCAAACACAGAUACUGUAAAGUAAUAUCCCUGGGGGGAACUUGGAUAUUUAAGAGAGACUUAUGUCAGUCAUUGGUCAAUUUCAUGAGCUCUGUAUUUUAGGGGUACCAACACAGAGUGCACAAAUGGCAAUUCACUGAGACCUAACUUAUUUAUAUUUGCUAUUUUGGGUGAAAAAGAAAAAGUGGAUUACUAGCCCUUAAAGUGGUAAUCCAUGAUUUUUUCAUAUGAAAAAAUGCCAUAUUUGAGACAUAGUUCCACUGGCAUUUCUCUAGGAAUGACCAUUGAGACCAUUUUUAUGACAUUCAAUGUUUCUAUAUAUUCAAAUUUGAAGUUAGUGGAGGACUUGCCACUGCCACCGUGUACGGAAAUGUACACAAGGAAGCCUAGCAGAAAUUUGUUUUCAGUGCUGAGAUACAUCCUUGUGGCAGGAAUGCAAGAGUUUGAGUGGCAUAAACACAAGAGGAAGAGAAGUUUGAGCACAGUUGUCUUUGUUUGAAGAAACUUCACAACAAUGGAUGAAAGUACAAAUAAUAAAGUGACCAAAAAAAGGAAACCACACUAACAAUCAGAAGAAGGAAAACAUGUGAGAUGGCUGUAUGGCUGUAAGAUUAUGGGAAUUGAAGUGUAGAAUAAACCUGCCAGUCAGCAUGGGUGGCCAUUAAAUCCACCAAAACUGAGGAAAUCAUAGAUUUGCACAAAGAUUAUUUUCAAACACUCCAGUCAUUUUGUUCUCAGUGAUUUUCUAUAACUGAUUUCUGUACCAUGAGUGUCUGCCAUAGGGUAAAAACUGACUGGACUGCUUCUUGGUAGUCAUCAGUCAUGCUGGUUAAAUAACAAAAGUUCAAGAUGAAAUAAGCACCAACUGAGAAAUGGGACUGGUAUGAAAAUCAAGUGCCUGCGGUAUUCAUCUACAAAGGAAGCAAUAUUUGACUGGAAAACCCAUGUUUACCUCAAUACACAUCGCACAGCAAUGGUGUGGUGGAUAGAAGCACAAAAUGGCAGUCAAUGGCCUCUCUAUUAGCACAAAUGAUAUGGGUAAAAUAUUGGUCUCACAAGUGUCUCGCUUUUAUGUAUAUUGUUUUUUUGAAGUUGUUAUUAGAGAAAAUGAAGGGUAAUGUAAUCUGUAAUCAAACUGUCCCAUCAUCUCUGUUAUUUAUGAACUUGUUCCUUAGUUUUAGUGAAAUUCUGAGCUCCAUAAAUAUUUCAUUUUUAGAAAUAGUGGUAAAGAUUGUUAUGAGGAUAUUACCCUGGAAGAGGUAUAAAAGGAUACAAUAUUGCUUUUUCAGCUUCAUAUGCCAUGCUUUGUUUCCAUUUUAUUUUGUAAUAUACAGUCCCCUCCAAAAGUAUUGGAACAGGAAGGCCAAUUCCUUUUUUUUCUUCUGCAGUACACUGAAUACAUUUGGGGUUGAGAUAAAAAGAUGAACUUGAGACACGAGUUCAGAAUCUAAUUCCCUGACAAAACAGGAUUACUUUAAAAAGAGACAGGAACCCAUGAAACAUUAACCCUACUUCAACAACCGAAGCAGAAUGCCUAUACCGAGGCUAGAAUACACAAAUAAUGAUAAAGAUGUGGGGAAAAGAAACUCAGCAUACAACCAGCUAGGGUUAUGGUAUUGCAGUGGUGACUGAGAAGCAUUUUAGCUAAUGGCAUUACGCUUCAAACAGUGUAUAGUUUGUUAGGUUUGCCUGUGUACAUUAACACGUACGCUGAAAAUUGUGCUUGAGAUUCUGUGCCAAAAAAGGGUGACGUUUUACAACAAAAAAAAUACUUUGCAAUGCCGACAUCUAAAUAGAGGACUUCCAAGGAAAAUCUUGUCUGAGUGAAUAUUUCUGAGGAAGACGUGGUCCCAUUUUAUAUCAGUGGUCCUCUAAAUACAUUCUCAAAAUAGUUUAUUAUUAUUCAGUAUGCUUAUAAGUAAGAAGCAACCCUGCUUAAUACAUGCAUAGCAUGUGAAAUUGUAGAAUGUGUUUGACUUGUUGAUAGGGGUUGGAUACUUGACAAAAACUUCAUCUACGUCUUGAAAGCCGGUGCACGAAAGGAGGGAAAAUAUUUCAUCAAUAUUAACUUAUUUUUAUUCAAAUAGAACAUACAA
Long non-coding RNA from Conger conger (European conger), 2776 nucleotides. RefSeq lists it as uncharacterized. Lineage: Eukaryota; Metazoa; Chordata; Actinopteri; Anguilliformes; Congridae. The transcript is spliced from 5 exons. The record is from RefSeq and is a predicted model, not a curated record.